AUACGGAGGAUCCGAGCGUUAUCCGGAUUUAUUGGGUUUAAAGGGUGCGCAGGCGGCCAUUUAAGUCAGCGGUUAAAUCGUGGGGCUCAACCCCAUUCUGCCGUUGAUACUGGGUGGCUUGAUUGCGGUCGAGGUUGGCGGAAUUCGUUGUGUAGCGGUGAAAUGCAUAGAUAUGACGAAGAACACCGAUUGCGUAGGCAGCUGACCAGACCGCAAAUGACGCUCAUGCACGAAAGUGCGGGGAUCGAACAGGAUUAGAUACCCUGGUAGUCCGCACAGUAAACGAUGAAUACUUGUUUUCGGCGAUAUAAUGUCGGAGGCAAAGCGAAAGCGAUAAGUAUUCCACCUGGGGAGUACGCCGGCAACGGUUAAACUUAAAGGAAUUGACGGGG
Molecule: ribosomal RNA, 392 nt
Filed under: uncultured bacterium
Lineage: Bacteria
Description: partial 16S ribosomal RNA
Rfam family: Bacterial small subunit ribosomal RNA
Source: RNAcentral